Non-coding RNA from Otolemur garnettii (small-eared galago), 286 nucleotides. The record is from Rfam. NCBI's taxonomy places the organism in Eukaryota, Metazoa, Chordata, Mammalia, Primates, Galagidae.
GCUGGGUGUUGUGGUAGGUGCCUGUAAUCCCAACUACUAGGGAGGCAGAGGCAGGAGAAUCGCUUGAGCCUAGGAGUUGGAGGUUGCUGUGAGCUGUGAUGCCACGGCACUCUACCAAGGGUGACAGCUUGAGUCUCUGUCUCAAAAAAAAAAAUUUAGGGUUGGAUUCCUUUUUUUUUUUUUUUUUUGAGAUGGAGCCUCAAGCUAUCCCCCUGGGUAGAGUGCCGUAGGAUCACAGCUCACAGCAACCUCCAACUCCUGGGCUCAAGCAAGUCUCCUGCCUCUG